RNAcentral lists this ribosomal RNA (471 nucleotides) under Flavobacterium sp. RNAcentral's name for it is "bacterial SSU rRNA". It matches the Rfam family "Bacterial small subunit ribosomal RNA", at positions 391 to 864 of the family's 1533-position model. Lineage: Bacteria; Pseudomonadati; Bacteroidota; Flavobacteriia; Flavobacteriales; Flavobacteriaceae. The record is from RNAcentral.
GCCAUGCCGCGUGCAGGAUGACGGUCCUAUGGAUUGUAAACUGCUUUUGCACAGGAAGAAACAACAUUACGUGUAAUGUCUUGACGGUACUGUGAGAAUAAGGAUCGGCUAACUCCGUGCCAGCAGCCGCGGUAAUACGGAGGAUCCAAGCGUUAUCCGGAAUCAUUGGGUUUAAAGGGUCCGUAGGCGGUCUUAUAAGUCAGUGGUGAAAUCUCCCCGCUCAACGGGGAAACGGCCAUUGAUACUGUAGGACUUGAAUUAUUAGGAAGUAACUAGAAUAUGUAGUGUAGCGGUGAAAUGCUUAGAGAUUACAUGGAAUACCAAUUGCGAAGGCAGGUUACUACUAAUGGAUUGACGCUGAUGGACGAAAGCGUGGGUAGCGAACAGGAUUAGAUACCCUGGUAGUCCACGCCGUAAACGAUGGAUACUAGCUGUUGGGUGCAAACUCAGUGGCUAAGCGAAAGUGAUAAG